AUGUUUAUAGUGCAUUAUGUGGAAUAUCUCAUUCAAAAUGUUUAUAGUGCAUUAUGUGGAAUAUCUCAUUCAAAAUGUUUAUAGUGCAUUAUGGGGAAUAUCUCAUUCAAAAUGUUUAUAGUGCAUUAUGUGGAAUAUCUCAUUCAAAAUGUUUAUAGUGCAUUAUGGGGAAUAUCUCAUUCAAAAUGUCAGCUAGAUGUAUCUAUAUUCUUAUUUUAUUAUACAUGAUUAGCAUAUUUAACAUGGUUGCAUAUUCUCGGUAUUAUUAAUGUGAUCAUAUAUUCAAAACAAUGUUUAGCUUUUUUUUUUUUUUAACUUACAUACAUAACACAUAGCUUAUCAUAUCAACCAAUACACAUGGAUAAACAUGGGGUACAAAACCAGGCACAUUUACAACAUAACAUUGUAUACAUUCGUUCACAUUGAUCCAGUGCAAACACAAUACGACAGAGAAGCUCUUCCCUGUAGGUAUAGGUCACGUGACAGUGGUUGGGUUGUGACACCUCUGGUCGUCACAAUAUGUCAACACAAUCAAAUAUACAAUAUAUACCAGUAUAGUCAGAGAGUAGUGUCCUGUCCAGGGGGUGUACUAGUACAGUAAUAUAUACCAGUAUAGUCAGACAGACUAGUGUCCUACAGGGGGGGUGUACUAGUACAGUAAUAUAUACCAGUAUAGUCAGACAGACUAGUGUCCUGUCCAGGGGGUGUACUAGUACAGUAAUAUAUACCAGUAUAGUCAGACAGACUAGUGUCCUGUCCAGGGGGUGUACUAGUACAGUAAUAUAUACCAGUAUAGUCAGACAGACUAGUGUCCUGUCCAGGGGGUGUACUAGUACAGUAAUAUAUACCAGUAUAGUCAGACAGACUAGUGUCCUGUCCAGGGGGUGUACUAGUACAUUAAGUUGCCUCACUCUUCAGAAACAGGACACAGGCUCCUGCCCCUUGGUUCGCUCUGGCUUGGACAAGGCUUCCUUAUUUUGUCAGUAUGCUCACCGAGUAAGAUACUGCUCUAGAGAGAUACUACUCCUAUAAUCACUCUAUGGUGUGUGCUCCAAAUGGCACCCUAUUCUCUACAUAUUACACUACUUUUAACCACAGCCCUAUGGGCUCUGGUCAAUAGUAGUGCACUAUAUAGGGAAUAGGGUGCCUUACCUUUUGGGUCGCCUGCCUACAUCAGUGAUGAAUUAAUACAACCUUAGUUCUCCAGAGGGAUGAACAGUUCAUAGUUAACUAUGUGCUGAACGUAAUGAGUUGGCAGAUUACCUCAUCGUAUUAACAAGAGACCGGAAACAGAGUUGGAAACCAAUCAGGAACAUGCAUCAACACCUUUCUCCUCCAUUGCCAGCAGUAGGAUUAUGAAGAAACAAACAAAUGAAAAGAAAAUAAACAACAUAAUUCUCUACUUUUAAAUGAAAGGGAAUAUUCUAGGCUAGGGAAUAUUCUAGGCUAGGCUAGGGAAUAUUCUAGGCUAGGGAACAUUCUAGGCUAGGGAACAUUCUAGGCUAGGCUAGGGAAUAUUCUAGGCUAGGCUAGGGAAUAUUCUAGGCUAGGCUAGGGAAUAUUCUAGGCUAGGCUAGGGAAUAUUCUAGGCUAGGCUAGGGAAUAUUCUAGGCUAGGGAAUAUUCUAGGCUAGGCUAGGGAACAUUCUAGGCUAGGCUAGGGAAUAUUCUAGGCUAGGGAAUAUUCUAGGCUAGGCUAGGGAAUAUUCUAGGAUUCUAGGGAACAUACUAGGCUAGGGAACAUUCUAGCAUUCUAGGGAACAUACUAGGCUAGGGAAUAUUCUAGGCUAGGGAACAUUCUAGGCUAGGGAACAUAAUAGGCUAGGGAACAUUCUAGACUAGGGAACAUUCUAGACUAGGGAACAUUCUAGACUAGGGAACAUUCUAGACUAGGGAACCUUCUUUCAGUUAGUUUAAGUUAUGUUCAUAUUCCAGAUGCACAACCAUCCCAUAGGUCAUGUGGAAUUAUACCGAUUGUAAAUGAUACCUACUGUAAAUGGUAAAUUGUACAUACUGUACUUUUUUAAAUUUUACCUUUAUUUUACCUUUAAUUAACUAGGCAAGUCAGUUAAGAACAAAUUCUUAUUUUCAAUGAGGGCCUAGGAACAGUGGGUUAACUGCCUGUUCAGGGGCAGAACGACAGAUUGUACUUUGUCAGCUCGGGGGUUUGAACUUGCAACCUUCCGGUUACUAGUCCAACGCUCUAACCACUAGGCUACCCUGCCGCCCCAUGAAAUGAUACCUACUGUAAAUGAUACAUACUGUAAAUGAUACCUACUGUACAUGAUACAUACUAUAAAUGAUACCUACUGUAAAUGGUACAUACUGUAAAUGGUACAUACUGUAAAUGGUACAUACUGUAAAUGGUACAUACUGUAAAUGAUACAUACGGCAGGCUUACACCAUGACUUCUCUGUUAAAGACAGUUAAUUGCUCUGAUUUGCCUCCAACACCUCUGCCCCUCAUCUCCUUGUCUCUUUCUAAAGGCCUGGGUUAGAAGGUUUCCCCUGCAGGUCAACUGUUGGUUGGUGAGCGAGGUAGUAGAGAUGUUACAGGGAAACAGAAACGUUGGGAGAAUAUUCAUCAGGUAGCUAAGCGCUGUCACAUGAAGUUUUAGCUGCUGUAUGGGCACCAGCCAUACUCUGGUGAAACCCAGAGAGAUGUGUUCCAGAGGGUCAUUGGGGAUCUAACAACAUAUUAGUUUGACAGGAGGGAAGGGGAUUGAUAUAGAUUUCUGUAAUGAAAAACUUUUGAGGAAUCUACAGUGGAGCUCAAUACCACACUAUUAGAUCCACUCAACUCCCAGCAGGGAGGAGAACAGAUGGAGAGAGUUGAUGUUUCUGUACUCUAUUAUCUGGAGACAAUCUCUUUAUGAUAUGACCUUUAGGCUUAUAGGGGAGGACAGGGGUGAGAGGGUCAAGCCUGAGAGACUGGUGCGCUACUCUACAUAAUACUGUAUACAUUGCCUUACUUGCUGUGUGGGGUCAUUUGGUGCAAAAGCAAUGUGAAGAGGGGAAUAGGACUAAACAGGAAAUUCAAUAUCCCUGCUGCUGGGAGGAGUUAGAAUGUGUUCCAUCUGAUACUACUGGGAGGAGUCAGAAUGUGUUCCAUCUGAU
This is a long non-coding RNA of Oncorhynchus tshawytscha (Chinook salmon), 3115 nucleotides long. The record is from Ensembl. Lineage: Eukaryota; Metazoa; Chordata; Actinopteri; Salmoniformes; Salmonidae.